This 758-nucleotide ribosomal RNA is filed under the name uncultured bacterium. RNAcentral's name for it is "bacterial SSU rRNA". It matches the Rfam family "Bacterial small subunit ribosomal RNA", at positions 8 to 796 of the family's 1533-position model. The record is from RNAcentral.
AGAGUUUGAUCAUGGCUCAGAAUCAACGCUGGCGGCGCGCCUAACACAUGCAAGUCGAACGAGAAAGCGGGAGCAAUCUCGCAAGUACAGUGGCGUACGGGUGAGUAACACGUGGAUCAUCUGCCCUGGAGUGGGGAAUAACGCUGGGAAACCGGCGCUAAUACCGCAUAUUCCCGAGAGGGGAAAGCAGCAAUGCGCUCGAGGAGGAGUCCGCGGCCGAUUAGCUAGUUGGCAGGGUAAAAGCCUACCAAGGCUAUGAUCGGUAGCCGGCCUGAGAGGGCACACGGCCACACUGGCACUGAAACACGGGCCAGACUCCUACGGGAGGCAGCAGUGGGGAAUCUUGCACAAUGGGGGAAACCCUGAUGCAGCGACGCCGCGUGAGCGAUGAAGCCCUUCGGGGUGUAAAGCUCUUUCGGCAGGGAAGAUUAUGACGGUACCUGCAGAAGCAGCUGCGGCUAACUACGUGCCAGCAGCCGCGGUAAUACGUAGGCAGCAAGCGUUGUUCGGAGUUACUGGGCGUAAAGGGUGUGUAGGCGGCCUGUUAAGUUCCGUGUGAAAUCUCCCGGCUCAACCGGGAGGGUGCGCGGAAAACUGGCGGGCUAGAGUACGGGAUGGGAGAGUAGAAUUCCUGGUGUAGCGGUGAAAUGCGUAGAUAUCAGGAGGAAUACCUGUGGUGUAGACGGCUCUCUGGACCGUAACUGACGCUGAAACACGAAAGCGUGGGUAGCAAACGGGAUUAGAUACCCUAGUAGUCC